Molecule: ribosomal RNA, 289 nt
Filed under: uncultured bacterium
Lineage: Bacteria
Description: partial 16S ribosomal RNA
Rfam family: Bacterial small subunit ribosomal RNA
Source: RNAcentral
AAUCAACGCUGGCGGCGUGCCUCAGACAUGCAAGUCGAACGAUUAAAGCUCUCUUCGGAGAGUGUAUAGAGUGGCGCACGGGUGAGUAACACGUAAGUAAUCUACCCUCGAGUCGGGAAUAACGGUCCGGAAACGGACGCUAAUACCGCAUAAUGCAGCGGCACCGCAAGGUGACAGUUGUUAAAGAUUUAUCGCGUUGAGGAGGAGCUUGCGGCAGAUUAGGCAGUUGGUAAGGUAAUGGCUUACCAAGGCUACGAUCUGUAACCGGUCUUAGAGGACGGUCGGUCAC